AAGUCGUAACAAGGUUUCCGUAGGUCAAGUUUAGUCCCUGCCACAGCGGGUCAACCUCGCUAGUCUCCGCUGGGGCGACACGCUCAACCUGUGGGAAAGGCCCCGUGCCCAGGGAAAUCCACACCCACUUCCCUCGCCCGGAAGCGGUUUAGAGGCUCAAUGGAGCCUGGGUGCGGAUCUCACGCGCUUGAGUCGAGUCGUCCAGCUGACGCUAGGGCGACGAACUGCGGAGUCAUCCAGCAUUGACGCUUUAGCGAAGCCAGAUUCUUCACCCCGGUGUCAUACAUCUAUCGUCUGUUGCUUUGGCGGGCGCCUGGCCGCCUGCCGAUGGGAAACCCUUGAAUCUCUGCAGUCAUGAAGCAUCGAAUAAAAUAGUCGAAAA
RNAcentral lists this unclassified non-coding RNA (382 nucleotides) under plant metagenome. RNAcentral describes it as "partial contains small subunit ribosomal RNA and internal transcribed spacer 1". The record is from RNAcentral.